This is a long non-coding RNA of Juglans microcarpa x Juglans regia, 244 nucleotides long. RefSeq lists it as uncharacterized. NCBI's taxonomy places the organism in Eukaryota, Viridiplantae, Streptophyta, Magnoliopsida, Fagales, Juglandaceae. The transcript has 3 exons. The record is from RefSeq and is a predicted model, not a curated record.
AAUUUGGAGGUUGUGGAGUUGAGGCGCCUGAACAAGAAGCAGUAGCUUGGAAAGAGGAACCUUGCUUGCAGGCUUGCUUCUUUGGAGUCUCAAUCGGCUUCUCUUGCUAAGGUUUCUGAGGUAUAGCUUGAGCUAGAUCCCUUUCUCGAGGUCCAUGGUUUCAAAGGUGGUUUCAAUGUUUUGUACAGUGGAUGAAAAGCCAGAUUGGUGCUAAAGGUAUGCACACUGGAGGAAACAAGAAAAU